This is a non-coding RNA of Heterocephalus glaber (naked mole-rat), 3939 nucleotides long. The record is from RefSeq and is a predicted model, not a curated record. NCBI's taxonomy places the organism in Eukaryota, Metazoa, Chordata, Mammalia, Rodentia, Bathyergidae.
CGGUGUGGACCCUGAAAACAUGGUGCUGAGGGAAUCACGACGCAGUCGGCUGCACAGGGUGCGACUCUGAUUUCAUGAAAUGUGGAACCCAUCGGGACAGGCCGGUCAGUGGUGGCCAGGGUGGCUGGGGAGGGGUUGCCAUACUCGGGGGUGACAACAGCCAGUGGCCCUGGGCGGGGUGGGGGCUGCACGGCGCACGGAUGGGCGCACCCUGCACGACCAGCUCACACUAGCUCCUUCUAUGUUGUGGGAACCGACUGCAGGACCCAGCCAGACCUGGAGCCACGCGUGUGGCCCCACAGAGGCCAGGCCGCCCCCCCCCCCAGUGCACGAGGCCACAGGGCUGGACCAGAAGCACCCGGGCCCUCGGGGAGGACUGGAACCCAGCUUCUUGCCCGACUUCCUCAAAAACCCGGAGUCCAUGUUGGAAGUGGAUCUGUGGAUCCUGCUGGCCCUGGGUCCGAGCCUUCUGGAGCCCCAGAUGUGGUCUCAUGUGCAGGCACCGUGCCAUCCUGGGCGAGCACACGUGGGUGUCAGCCGGGUGGCCGCUCCGUCUCCACUGGGCCCAGCCCUAGCGCUGGACAGUGGGGCCCUCGAGGAGGUUGGAGCCCGAGUGUCCUGCAGCCAGGCCAGGGUCCUCCCUGGGUCACCACUGAUGCCACAAAACUCAGAACUUCGUGCAUACAACUCUGGAAACCAACCGUGCUGAGCCCUCGGCAGCAGGUCCCCAGGGCGCCAAGCUUGAAGCCACCCGUCCCGGGCAGUGGGGACGAGUUCCCAUGAGGGGCACCUGCCAGGUCCAGGGACAGGGAGGCCCAGGAGGAAGUCAAGUGUGGGGCCAGGCACCAGCCACAGCUCCCGCCCUGGGCCCUGGAGGUCCCAGGCCACAACUGCCCCUCCACCUGGGGCGCCAGCACCCACUGCCCUCUAACAGUGCCUGUCCUGCCUCCGAAAGGCCCACAGCCAGACUGGUCAGCUAGGCCUUGGCAAGCACCUUCCUGGGGGCUGGGAGCAGUGGGGACUGAGUCCAGGAAGCACUGAGUUUCACCCCCUAAAUCCCUGGCCCCUUUUUUGUUUGAGGUACUUGGGUCUGAACCUAGCCUUUGCAGUAAGCUAUAUCCUCAUCCCUUUUUUUUUAACCUUGAUACAGUGUCUUGCUAAUUUGCUGAGCUGCCAGACUGGGCUCCAACUGGGAUCCUCCCGCCUCAGCCUUCUGAGAAGCUGGGAUCACAGCCAUGGCAGGCCAGCUGUGGCAGCUCCCUGAAGGCAGGCGCUCACAGGAGCUGGGCAUCGUGCCAGGAGCUUUCUGGAAGGAGCGCGUGGUGCUCAAUGCUGUCUGCGUGAGAGCAGGGAACGAGGGCCAGGAAGCAGGUGUGCAGCAGGGCGCUGCAGUAGGCAGGAACACGGUCACUAACAAGGACCAGGCGGGGGCGGGUGCUGCGUGGGCUACGCAAGAUGACGGUCAUGCGUCAUCUCGUUCCAGCAAACAUAUGCAAUGUUGUAUACGGAUGUGUUUACUAUUUCGGGCAAAAAUCAGUAGCUUUCCUACGUAAGGGUGACGACCCACUGGAAACGGAAGAAAAAGCCCCUUACACUGAGCUCCAUCCCCAGCCCCUUUAUUCUUUGAGACAGGGUCUUGAUAAAUUGCCUGGGCUGGGCUGGAACCUGUGAUCCUCCUGCCUCAGCCUCCCAAGCAGCAGGAAGGCUUCAUCACCACACCCAGCCAUGGUUGGAUUUUUAGCGGGUCUGGCAGCCCUUUGCUGGAUGAAUCCCAUAACCCAAAACACAGGGCUGCAGAGGGCCAGGCUGAGACACCCAUUUUGGCUUUGAAGAAUGCGUUCCAUCCUCUGGAGAGGGGAAAGUCCACACGCGGGUGGCAGCUAGGAGGUACGCUCCCCGCCCGUGCCCCUCCUGCAGGCUGAGGGUCCCCAGCCCCUGGGGGAGGCAGCCCUGAGCCUGCUGCUGCCCCUCCUCCAAGGACCCAGGGGUGACCCUGCUGAGGACGACGGGCCCCGCCACCCGGCCCCGGAACCUUCCACAAACCCACGUCCCGAGCAAGCGGGCACCAGAUGGUGCCACCUGCCUGCCACCCACCGCCAGAUGGAGCUGCCACGCACCCCGCACUCUCGGCUCUCUGGCCUCCCCGGUGUGGGCCCAGCCACCUGGCUCCCUGCGGGACUCGCUCCAGGAUGGGCCUGCCGGACCCACCAUCCCAUCUGAGUCAGAGCACCCCGUCGACAUGUCCAGCUGCAGAUCCCAACACAGUGGCUGGCGAGUGCAACCCCUAUGCUGGGGCCCUGGAGUGGAGCUCAGCCACCAGGACUCCUUCCUGCAGUGUUGCUGAGGGGCAGCAAGCAGGAGCACCCUGAUUGGCUGGUUUCCCCCCUGGAUGCGGCAUCCAGGCCACAGUGGUCAGGGCUCCAGACAGUUGAAGCCCGAAGAGCUCAGGGAGGCGGGGUCGGCCCAGCAGAACCCGGACUUCCGGGCAGGGGUGGCAGGGGACAGCGCCAAAGAUGCCCACGUGGGAUCCAACUGAGCAAGCCAAAUGGACUCAGAACGCCCCAGCCAGGCCGAUCCUGCAACCUUUGAUGGACAGCACAGAGAGGACCUGGUCAUGGGACCCAGCUGUACCCACGGCCUGGAGACGGGGCUACCAUGGGUCCCCACAAAUCCUUUGAAAGGGUCUGCGUCAGCAGCGAAGGCCCUGAAAGAGCAGGAGUCCCCGGCAGGGGACAGGCCGGUGUCCACAUCCACAAGCCAGAGCCCUGCCCAGUGUGCAGUGGAUGGUGUCACAGCCAGCCUUGCCACCCCAGGACUCUGAGUCUGCAGUGCUGGUGCCCGUCCCCAGGAGAGAGCUGGUGUCCCCACCAUGGGCUUUGCUCCAUCCCUGCCCAGGCGUCUGUUAUCACAGAUUCCGAGUCGCUGCGCCUGCCCAGGGCUGGCUGGGGUGCAGACACUGCCGUGGCUUCUGAGGGUGGCGGGUCCAGGGGUCCCCGGCCCAGGAGGGAUGCGUGCUGGAUCAAGGGGCAGCAACCCCACGGCUCCUUCCAGUAGUGGGGCCGGGGAAGCUGUCCCAUCCCCACUCCCCCUGCCGUCUCGGCUGUGCGUGGACGGUGGCUGAGUGGACGUCACCGACGGAGCUGUGCACACAGAUCCACAGAGGUGGGCACCGUGGCACAUGGAAGGCAGAACUCGCAGGCCAGCUCUGCACACCACGGUCAGCAGAUGACACUAACAGUGAUCCCAUGCCACCCGGGGGACAGUGAUCACCGUCUCGGUCACCCGGGGCGUGCUGUCCAGGGAGCCUGUCUACACCAAGCCCCGCUGGGUGUGUCCAGCGCUGCCCAGCCCAGGCCGGCACCAAGGCAGGGGUGGGGUCUCCCGGGGCCUCUGGCCUUGGGUGUGGGAACACAGCCUUUCCGGGUGCAGGACUCAGGACGGAUGCUUCAGACAGGAGAAACCGGAGUGCACAGUGCAGGGCUCACCCUGGCCGCUCCAGUCCCUUCUAACCUCAUCCCCCGAGUGGCCAAGUGUGGUGAGGUUUCCUGGAGUGUGGAGUAAAAAAGGAAUGACUUGAAAGAAACGGAAGACAAUUAGACAAGAGGAAGGGGGUCUCGGGAAGGAGAGGGAGGGUAAUGAGGGGUGGAUAUGACCAAAAUAUGUUAUAUGCAUGUGUACCACCACGAGGAACCCCAAGGAAAAAGAACCAAUGCAAAAAAAGAGGAACUAGUGAGAUUAGUUCACUUUGCAUUCUCUUAUUUCCCAUUGUGAAUACGGAUAUGAUGGCUGGAGCUGUGGCAACUACAUUGUAACCAUGAAGAAAGGUCAAUAGAAUCAUGACAUUCCUGUAAUACCUGAGCCAUGGAUGUUGAGUCACUGCCGGCAGCUGUGCACUCAAACUGCUUCUCGAGGGAGAAAAAUAAAGUCCUACUUAUCUGA